Colobus angolensis palliatus is the source of this 104-nucleotide small nuclear RNA. The record is from Ensembl. Lineage: Eukaryota; Metazoa; Chordata; Mammalia; Primates; Cercopithecidae.
GUGCUUGCUUUGGCAGCACAGAUACUACCAUUGGAACAAUACAGAGAUUAGCAUGGCUUCUGUGCAAAGAUGACAUGCAAAUUCGUGAAGCAUUUCAUUAAUAA